Molecule: ribosomal RNA, 472 nt
Filed under: uncultured bacterium
Lineage: Bacteria
Description: partial 16S ribosomal RNA
Rfam family: Bacterial small subunit ribosomal RNA
Source: RNAcentral
GACGAACGCUGGCGGCGUGCUUAACACAUGCAAGUCGAGCGAGAAACCUUCGGGUUUCUAGCGGCGGACGGGUGAGUAACACGGGGGUAACCUGCCUCAAAGAGGGGGCUAGCCUUCCGAAAGGAAGAUUAAUACCGCAUAAUAUUUUAGCUUCGUAUGAAGUUGAAAUAAAAGGAGUAAUCCGCUUUGAGAUGGACCCGCGGCGCAUUAGCUAGUUGGAGAGGUAACGGCUCACCAAGGCAACGAUGCGUGGCCGACCUGAAAUGGGGAACGGCCACAUUGGAACUGAGACACGGUCCAGACUGCUACGGGAGGCAGCAAUGGGGAAUAUUGCACAAUGGGCGAAAGCCUGAUGCAGCAACGCCGCGUGAGUGAUGAAGGUCUUCGGAUUGUAAAGCUCUGUCUUUUGGGACGAUAAUGACGGUACCAAAGGAGGAAGCCACGGCUAACUACGUGCCAGCCGCCGCCGUAA